UAAGCCCAAGGCUAAAGCCUUAUCCCACGCUAGAGGCAACGGCCAAGCGAGUUGUCGUCACUGUCGUGGCGGCUCAUCCGUGAGAGAUUCUUCUCAGUUGCCGAUGGAAUUCGUGGCGAAAGGGAAUACGGUACUUAUUCCGUAACCAGGCCUGGAUGCCAACCGGGGCUAGGUUCCUUCUUGGGCCGGCCCUUGGUGCAGGAACCCGGUAACGGGAACCAACUCGCGUCCAUCGGCGGUGGUCCGGGAAAGAGUUUUCUUUUCUGUUUAAGGCGCCGUGACCCUAGAAGCCACUCGCAGAGCGAAAGGGUGUUGGUAACACGGUCUGCCGUAGAGCGCCGCGGUUCUUGCGGCGUCCCGAGUACCACUGCCGGUCCGUGAAACAUGCGAGGCAGGUAACUGCAUGGGCGAAGCGGGGGGGUCUGCUGCUGCUGCCCGCUGCCGGGCGUCGUUCUGCGGCGUCACGGCGCGGCGCACGUACGCACGCGGCCUCCGCGAUGCACCCCAGUUUCGGGCCUGUGCGUACCCAUAUCCGCAGCCGGUCUCCAAGGUAAGAAGCCUCUGGUCGAUAGACUAAUGUAGGUAAGGGAAGUCGGCAAAUUAGAUCCGUAACUUCGGGAUAAGGAUUGGCUCUGAGGAUCGGGCCAGUCGGGCCUGUGCGGGGAAGCGGGCCUGGGUUCGGGCGCUGGACUGGGCUCAGGCUCUGAGCUGCGCGCGGUGAUGGGUGAUGCCGUCUACCCUGCGGCGCCCGACGUCGCCGGUGUCCGCCCAUCCGCUGUGUCUCGCCUUCCCGGUGGCGGCGACCCAUUCCAAAUGCGGCCUCGCGUCGCGCUGUCCUUGUUCUAUCAGCUCGCCGGUGCGGCGGUGCUUGUGGUCCGGGUUCGCAAAGGCGGCCGGCGGACGAUCACCGCGUCGUUUGGGCCCUCAAAAGCCCCGGCGCGGCGUCCUCCGGUCGCUCCCGGUCCCACUCCGCCGUCCGCGCUAAAGCCGGCGCGGCGGGGCAGCGCGCGUUGGGAAUCACCGCAGGGUUCGCGCAGCGCCGGUCUCGCAGGCGGGACACGCUCAUGCGAGGUGGGGCCAACGGCCCGGUGUGCGGCGGCUCGCAUUUCGUGGUGGCGGCUCUAGCCCUCUCGCCACUCGUGCCGAGAGCUCGGACCGGCGUGUCUCCGGCCUUCCGUGGAACGCGCUAGGCGCGUGGGCGCGGGCUCCGGCUCUCUCUAUCGCCGGCUUUCGGCCGGUUAGGUAGCAGCAGCAGUCGUCCCUCGCUCCAAACCCACUUCGGCUGGCGCCCAGCGAUCAACUCAGAACUGGCACGGACCAGGGAAUCCGACUGUCUAAUUAAAACAAAGCAUUGCGAUGGUCAGAGAUAGAUGUUGACGCAAUGUGAUUUCUGCCAGUGCUCUGAAUGUCAAAGUGAAGAGAUUCAACCAAGCGCGGGUAAACGGCGGGAGUAACUAUGACUCUCUUAAGGUAGCCAAAUGCCUCGUCAUCUAAUUAGUGACGCGCAUGAAUGGAUUAACGAGAUUCCCACUGUCCCUAUCUACUAUCUAGCGAACCCACAGGCAGGGGAACGGGCCUGCGCCUAACAGCGGGGAAAGAAGACCCUGUUGAGCUUGACUCUAGUCUGAUUUUGUAGAGAGACAUCAGAGAGCAUAAGUGGGAGGUCGUCACAUCAGGGGCUUGCUCCGUGCGGCCGACAAUGAAAUACCACUACUCUGAUCGUUUCUUUACUUACGGUGAGACGGAAUCGGAGCUUCCCCACGUGGGAUUGCCUCCGUUUCUAGCCUAAAGCGGCGGAAGGGAGGCGCGCUUGGUUUCGGCCUUGCGUUAGCCUGACCGGGCGUUCGCGCCCGCCGCGAUCCGCUCCGAGGACAUUAUCAGGUGGGGAGUUUGACUGGGCGGUACAUCUGUCAAACGAUAACGCAGGUGUCCUAAGGCCAGCUCAGCGUGGACAGAAACCUCGCGUAGAGCAAAAGGGCAAAUGCUGGCUUGAUCCUGAUUUUCAGUACGAAUACGGACUGCGAAAGCAGGGCCUAUCGAUCCUUUUGACUUUAUGAGUUUUAAGCAAGAGGUGUCAGAAAGUUACCACGGGAUAACUGGCUUGUGGCGGCCAAGCGUUCAUAGCGACGUCGCUUUUUGAUCCUUCGAUGUCGGCUCUUCCUAUCAUUGUGAAGCAGAAUUCACCAAGCGUGGAUUGUUCACCCAUAAAAAGGGAACGUGAGCUGGGUUUAGACCGUCGCGAACAGGUUAGUUUUACCCUACUGUUGCAGUUGUGUCGUUGAUACAGCAGUCCUGCUCAGUACGAGAGGAACGGCAGGUCCGGACAUAUGGUUCCGCUCUUGGUCGAUCGGCCAGUGGAGCGAGGCUACGUCCGUGGGAUUAUGCUGAAAGCCCAAGGCAGAAUCCGCUGAUGACCACGAUACCGCGUACGGCCUGCAUCGGAUGGUCACCAUUGAAUUUCGAGAGAUCGACUCCCGCCCCGCCCACAGCAAAUUGGCACAAUUUCCCCAAAGUCUGGGAAAAUUCUUC
This 2529-nucleotide ribosomal RNA is filed under the name Eriocheir sinensis (Chinese mitten crab). Its description in RNAcentral is "eukaryotic LSU rRNA". It matches the Rfam family "Eukaryotic large subunit ribosomal RNA", at positions 1546 to 3401 of the family's 3401-position model. The record is from RNAcentral. Lineage: Eukaryota; Metazoa; Arthropoda; Malacostraca; Decapoda; Varunidae.